RNAcentral lists this long non-coding RNA (63 nucleotides) under Haliotis rubra (blacklip abalone). RNAcentral describes it as "uncharacterized LOC124259580". The record is from RNAcentral. Lineage: Eukaryota; Metazoa; Mollusca; Gastropoda; Lepetellida; Haliotidae.
UUCAACAAUAUCUAUUUUAUAUAUUUUGGCAUAAGCACUCACUUUAGCUUACCAUUGAUGCAA